GAGAAGCUUGCUUCUCUGAUGUUAGCGGCGGACGGGUGAGUAACACGUGGAUAACCUACCUAUAAGACUGGGAUAACUUCGGGAAACCGGAGCUAAUACCGGAUAAUAUUUUGAACCGCAUGGUUCAAAAGUGAAAGACGGUCUUGCUGUCACUUAUAGAUGGAUCCGCGCUGCAUUAGCUAGUUGGUAAGGUAACGGCUUACCAAGGCAACGAUGCAUAGCCGACCUGAGAGGGUGAUCGGCCACACUGGAACUGAGACACGGUCCAGACUCCUACGGGAGGCAGCAGUAGGGAAUCUUCCGCAAUGGGCGAAAGCCUGACGGAGCAACGCCGCGUGAGUGAUGAAGGUCUUCGGAUCGUAAAACUCUGUUAUUAGGGAAGAACAUAUGUGUAAGUAACUGUGCACA
This 408-nucleotide ribosomal RNA is filed under the name Staphylococcus aureus. RNAcentral describes it as "bacterial SSU rRNA". It matches the Rfam family "Bacterial small subunit ribosomal RNA", at positions 73 to 472 of the family's 1533-position model. Lineage: Bacteria; Bacillati; Bacillota; Bacilli; Caryophanales; Staphylococcaceae. The record is from RNAcentral.